GGGUAAAUUCUAAGUUUUAAAGGAUUUGUAAGAAAUGUUUGAGGAAACUGACUUAGUGUUAAACAGUAAUUCAAUUCCCUCAAACAAUUCUUACAAAUCCUUCAAAACUUAGAAUUUA
This is a non-coding RNA of Paramuricea clavata, 118 nucleotides long. The record is from the annotation of a GenBank genome assembly. NCBI's taxonomy places the organism in Eukaryota, Metazoa, Cnidaria, Anthozoa, Malacalcyonacea, Plexauridae.